UACAGAGGGGGCGAGCGUUGUUCGGAAUUACUGGGCGUAAAGGCGCGUAGGCGGCCUUCUAAGUCGAACGUGAAAUCCCCGGGCUCAACCCGGGAACUGCGUCCGAUACUGGGAGGCUUGAAUCCGGGAGAGGGAUGUGGAAUUCCUGGUGUAGCGGUGGAAUGCGCAGAUAUCAGGAGGAACACCGGUGGCGAAGGCGGAUCUCCUGGGCCAUAACUGACGCUGAGGAGCGAAGCAUGGGGAGCGAACAGGA
This 253-nucleotide ribosomal RNA is filed under the name uncultured bacterium. RNAcentral describes it as "partial 16S ribosomal RNA". It matches the Rfam family "Bacterial small subunit ribosomal RNA", at positions 524 to 777 of the family's 1533-position model. The record is from RNAcentral.